Molecule: long non-coding RNA, 1093 nt
Filed under: Piliocolobus tephrosceles (Ugandan red Colobus)
Lineage: Eukaryota; Metazoa; Chordata; Mammalia; Primates; Cercopithecidae
Description: lncRNA (ENSPTEG00000002458.1)
Source: RNAcentral
AUGUUGCAAAAAUUUCAUUUGCACUAGUAUUUAUGUAAAGUUUACUUUUUGUUUGUUUUUCCUUUUUUUUUGAAAAUUAGAAGUAUCUAAUGCAUGCAUGUACAUACAUACGUACAUACAUACGUACAUAUAUAUAUAUAUAUACAUAAUAUAUGCAUAUUAUGUUUCAUUUUCCACUAUUUUAGGAAGAGCAAAAUGGUGAAAGGUUAAACACAUUAUUUGAAAAACAAAAGGAAAUGUUAGAUUUUAAAAAAAAGAAAUUAGAAGAAAAUGUAUCUGCAUUUGAAAGUGAUCUGCACAAAAUUUAUGAAUACUAUCAUGAAUACAACAAGCUAGAUCAAUUCGAAUCAUUGGAUAAUAUCAACAAGUUUAUAACUGAGAUGGUUGAAAAAUGCAAAAAAUUAAACUCGGAACACAAGAAACAUACUUAUACGCUAAAAAGUGCGUUGAUGCUUAAAGGGGAUGUUAACAAAUACAUAUACUUAAGAGAGGGGGAACGAUCGAGUAUAAGGUAAACUUUUUUAUGAUAAUUUGCUUUUUGUCUUUAUUAAAUUAUUGCUUUUGUUUUGUGUUUUUAACAAACCGAACUUAUUAGCAAUGUUCUACUGCCUUAUGUUCGAUUUUGUUCGAUUUUGUUCAACUUUUUUUAUUGGUUUAAGUAUAAUAUAAAUUUUUUUUUUUUUUUUUUUAUUCUUAAUUUUGUAGUAUACAACAAGUCUCUCACAACUAUCCGGGAAGUGUUCAAAACAACCCAAAACGCUAUUAUUGAAAUGAAUGGUUAAUCCCUACUUGCUGCAUAUUCAUUUUAUUUAUUUAUUUAUUUAUUUAUUCAUUUAUUUUAUUUAUUUAUUUAUUUAUUCAUUUAUUUUAUUUUAUUUUUUUUUAAUUAUUGAGAUGUGUUCAUUAUAUAAACACAUUUUUAUUUGUAAAGAUGCAUAUGUAGUAUAUACAUGUGUAUGUAUAUACGUUCAUUCGUAUUUUUGCACAUUUUCUGUUUUUAGCUAAUUUAAUUUAGUUCAUUUUUUUAAUUUAUAUAUAUAUAUAUAUAUUAUUGUUUAAAAUAACAAGAAAAUAAACAAAAUAAAAUAAUUCA